This 443-nucleotide ribosomal RNA is filed under the name uncultured bacterium. RNAcentral describes it as "partial 16S ribosomal RNA". It matches the Rfam family "Bacterial small subunit ribosomal RNA", at positions 338 to 795 of the family's 1533-position model. The record is from RNAcentral.
CCUACGGUGGGCAGCAGUGGGGAAUAUUGGGCAAUGGGCGCAAGCCUGACCCAGCAACGCCGCGUGAAGGAAGAAGGCUUUCGGGUUGUAAACUUCUUUUCUCAGGGACGAAGAAAGUGACGGUACCUGAGGAAUAAGCCACGUCUAACUACGUGCCAGCAGCCGCGGUAAUACGUAGGUUGCAAGCGUUAUCCGGAUUUUUUGGGUGUACAGGGCGUGUAGGCGGGGGCGCAAGUCAGAUGUGAAAACUCAGGGCUCAACCCUGAGCCUGACUUUGAAACUGUGUUUCUUGAGUGCUGGGGAGGCAAUCGGAAUACCGUGGGUAGGGGUGAAAUGGGUAGAUAUACGGAGGAACACCAGUGGCGAAGGCGGAUUGCUGGACAGUAACUGACGCUGAGGCGCGAAAGCGUGGGGAGCAAACAGGAUUAGAUACCCUUGUAGUC